Molecule: ribosomal RNA, 243 nt
Filed under: Blastocystis sp.
Lineage: Eukaryota; Bigyra; Opalinata; Blastocystidae
Description: partial 18S ribosomal RNA
Rfam family: Eukaryotic small subunit ribosomal RNA
Source: RNAcentral
CUGCGAAUGGCUCAUUAUAUCAGUUAUAGUUUCUUUGAUGAAGAAUACUAAUUGGAUAACCGUAGUAAUUCUAGAGCUAAUACAUGUAUAAAGUCUUGUAGACUGCAUUUAUUAGAAUGAAAACCAUAGGUUUCGGCCUAUUCGUGAGUAAUAAUAACUAAUCAUAUCGUAUGCUUAAGUAACGAUGUGUCUUUCAAGUUUCUGCCCUAUCAGCUUUCGAUGGUAGUGUAUUGGACUACCAUG